GAUGAACGCUGGCGGCGUGCCUAAUACAUGCAAGUCGAGCGAACAGACGAGGAGCUUGCUCCUCUGACGUUAGCGGCGGACGGGUGAGUAACACGUGGAUAACCUACUUAUAAGACUGGGAUAACUUCGGGAAACCGGAGCUAAUACCGGAUAAUAUAUUGAACCGCAUGGUUCAAUAGUGAAAGACGGUUUUGCUGUCACUUAUAGAUGGAUCCGCGCCGCAUUAGCUAGUUGGUAAGGUAACGGCUUACCAAGGCAACGAUGCGUAGCCGACCUGAGAGGGUGAUCGGCCACACUGGAACUGAGACACGGUCCAGACUCCUACGGGAGGCAGCAGUAGGGAAUCUUCGGCAAUGGGCGAAAGCCUGACGGAGCAACGCCGCGUGAGUGAUGAAGGUCUUCGGGUCGUAAAGCUCUGUUAUUAGGGAAGAAAAGAUGUGGGAGUAACUAUGCACGUCUUGACGGUACCUAAUGAGAAAGCACCGGCUAACUACGUG
RNAcentral lists this ribosomal RNA (497 nucleotides) under uncultured bacterium. RNAcentral describes it as "partial 16S ribosomal RNA". It matches the Rfam family "Bacterial small subunit ribosomal RNA", at positions 28 to 507 of the family's 1533-position model. The record is from RNAcentral.